AUAGCACGGGGAAACUCGUAUUAAUACCGCAUACGACCUACGGGAGAAAGGGGGCAGUUUACUGCUCUCGCUAUUAGAUGAGCCUAAGUCGGAUUAGCUAGAUGGUGGGGUAAAGGCCUACCAUGGCGACGAUCUGUAGCUGGUCUGAGAGGAUGAUCAGCCACACCGGGACUGAGACACGGCCCGGACUCCUACGGGAGGCAGCAGUGGGGAAUAUUGGACAAUGGGGGAAACCCUGAUCCAGCCAUGCCGCGUGUGUGAAGAAGGCCUUUUGGUUGUAAAGCACUUUAAGCAGUGAAGAAGACUCCGUGGUUAAUACCCACGGACGAUGACAUUAGCUGCAGAAUAAGCACCGGCUAACUCUGUGCCAGCAGCCGCGGUAAUACAGAGGGUGCAAGCGUUAAUCGGAAUUACUGGGCGUAAAGGGAGCGUAGGUGGCUCUAUAAGUCAGAUGUGAAAUCCCCGGGCUCAACCUGGGAACUGCAUCUGAAACUGUAGAGCUAGAGUAUGUGAGAGGAAGGUAGAAUUCCAGGUGUAGCGGUGAAAUGCGUAGAGAUCUGGAGGAAUACCGAUGGCGAAGGCAGCCUUCUGGCAUAAUACUGACACUGAGGCUCGAAAGCGUGGGUAGCAAACAGGAUUAGAUACCCUGGUAGUCCACGCCGUAAACGAUGUCUACUAGUCGUUGGGUCCCUUGAGGACUUAGUGACGCAGCUAACGCAAUAA
RNAcentral lists this ribosomal RNA (723 nucleotides) under Psychrobacter fjordensis. Its description in RNAcentral is "bacterial SSU rRNA". It matches the Rfam family "Bacterial small subunit ribosomal RNA", at positions 143 to 863 of the family's 1533-position model. Lineage: Bacteria; Pseudomonadati; Pseudomonadota; Gammaproteobacteria; Moraxellales; Moraxellaceae. The record is from RNAcentral.